CCUACGGGAGGCUGCAGUCGAGAAUCAUUCACAAUGGGGGAAACCCUGAUGGUGCGACGCCGCGUGGGGGAAUGAAGGUCUUCGGAUUGUAAACUCCUGUCAUGUGGGAGCAAAUUAAAAAGAUAGUACCACAAGAGGAAGAGACGGCUAACUCUGUGCCAGCAGCCGCGGUAAUACAGAGGUCUCAAGCGUUGUUCGGAAUCACUGGGCGUAAAGCGUGCGUAGGCUGUUUCGUAAGUCGUGUGUGAAAGGCGCGGGCUCAACCCGCGGACGGCACAUGAUACUGCGAGACUAGAGUAAUGGAGGGGGAACCGGAAUUCGCGGUGUAGCAGUGAAAUGCGUAGAUAUCGAGAGGAACACUCGUGGCGAAGGCGGGUUCCUAGACAUUAACUGACGCUGAGGCACGAAGGCCAGGGGAGCGAAAGGGAUUAGAUACCCGGGUAGUC
Molecule: ribosomal RNA, 446 nt
Filed under: uncultured bacterium
Lineage: Bacteria
Description: partial 16S ribosomal RNA
Rfam family: Bacterial small subunit ribosomal RNA
Source: RNAcentral